This 440-nucleotide ribosomal RNA is filed under the name uncultured bacterium. RNAcentral describes it as "partial 16S ribosomal RNA". It matches the Rfam family "Bacterial small subunit ribosomal RNA", at positions 338 to 795 of the family's 1533-position model. The record is from RNAcentral.
CCUACGGGUGGCAGCAGUGGGGAAUAUUGCACAAUGGGGGAAACCCUGAUGCAGCGACGCCGCGUGAGUGAAGAAGUAUUUCGGUAUGUAAAGCUCUAUCAGCAGGGAAGAAAAUGACGGUACCUGACUAAGAAGCCCUUGCUAUCUACGUGCCAGCAGCCGCGGUAAUACGUAGGGGGCAAGCGCUAUCCGGUUUUACUGGGUGUAAAGGGAGCGUAAAUGGCCAGACAAGUCAGAAGUGAAAGCCCAGGGCUCAACCCUGGGACUGCUUUUGAAACUGGCGGGCUGGAGUGCAGGAGAGGUGAGCGGAAUUCCAAGUGUAGCGGUGAAAUGCGUAGAUAUUAGGAGGAACACCAGUGGCGAAGGCGGCUUACUGGCCUGUAACUGACGUUGAGGCUCGAAAGCGUGGGGAGCAAACAGGAUUAGAUACCCUUGUAGUC